Molecule: ribosomal RNA, 465 nt
Filed under: uncultured bacterium
Lineage: Bacteria
Description: partial 16S ribosomal RNA
Rfam family: Bacterial small subunit ribosomal RNA
Source: RNAcentral
GAUGAACGCUGGCGGCGUGCUUAACACAUGCAAGUCGAACGGAAAGGCUCCUGCUUGCAGGGGUACUCGAGUGGCGAACGGGUGAGUAACACGUGGGUGAUCUGCCCUGCACUUCGGGAUAAGCCUGGGAAACUGGGUCUAAUACCGGAUAGGACCACAUUUUGGAUGGUGUGGUGGAAAGUUUUUCGGUGUGGGAUGAGCUCGCGGCCUAUCAGCUUGUUGGUGGGGUAAUGGCCUACCAAGGCGUCGACGGGUAGCCGGCCUGAGAGGGUGUACGGCCACAUUGGGACUGAGAUACGGCCCAGACUCCUACGGGAGGCAGCAGUGGGGAAUAUUGUACAAUGGGCGCAAGCCUGAUGCAGCGACGCCGCGUGGGGGAUGACGGCCGUCGGGUUGUAAACUCCUUUCGCUAGGGACGAAGCGCAAGUGACGGUACCUGGAGAAGAAGCACCGGCUAACUACGUG